AAGUCGUAACAAGGUUUCCGUAGGUGAACCUGCGGAAGGAUCAUUAUUGAAGCUACCAUUGGAGUGUGGACGUGAUGCUGGCCCCUCGCCGGGCAUGUGCUCCUUCUGCCUCUGAUAAUCCGCUCAACCCCUUAUGUGCACCUUACCGGGCAGCGUCUUGAGAAAUCGAGGCGCCGUCUUCACACAAACCACUUAGAAAGUACUAGAAUGUCAUUGAGUAUCGAGGAAAUAAAUACAACUUUCAACAACGGAUCUCUUGGCUCUC
RNAcentral lists this unclassified non-coding RNA (265 nucleotides) under air metagenome. Its description in RNAcentral is "partial contains small subunit ribosomal RNA, internal transcribed spacer 1, and 5.8S ribosomal RNA". The stretch from base 1 to 46 matches the Rfam family "Eukaryotic small subunit ribosomal RNA", at positions 1786 to 1831 of the family's 1831-position model. The record is from RNAcentral.